RNAcentral lists this ribosomal RNA (253 nucleotides) under uncultured bacterium. RNAcentral describes it as "partial 16S ribosomal RNA". It matches the Rfam family "Bacterial small subunit ribosomal RNA", at positions 524 to 776 of the family's 1533-position model. The record is from RNAcentral.
UACAGAGGGUGCGAGCGUUACUCGGAAUUACUGGGCGUAAAGCGUGCGUAGACGGUUAUUUAAGUCAGAUGUGAAAGCCCCGGGCUCAACCUGGGAAUUGCAUUUGAGACUGAAUAGCUAGGGUACGGUAGAGGGAAGCGGAAUUUCCGGUGUAGCGGUGAAAUGCGUAGAUAUCGGAAGGAACAUCAGUGGCGAAAGCGGCUUCCUGGACCAGUACCGACGUUCAGGCACGAAAGCGUGGGGAGCAAACAGG